CCCUUAGACGUUCUGGGCCGCACGCGCGCUACACUGACGAAGGCAACGAGCUUUCCUUUACCGAAAGGUACGGGUAAUCUUUUGAAACUUCGUCGUGCUGGGGAUAGAUCCUUGCAAUUUUUGAUCUUAAACGAGGAAUGCCUAGUAAGCGCAAGUCAUCAACUUGCGUUGAUUACGUCCCUGCCCUUUGUACACACCGCCCGUCGCUACUACCGAUUGAACGGUUUAGUGAGGCCUUCGGAUCCGCGACUCGUUUGUGGAGAAGUUGGACAAACUCAGUCAUUUAGAGGAAGUAAAAGUCGUAACA
RNAcentral lists this ribosomal RNA (307 nucleotides) under uncultured eukaryote. RNAcentral's name for it is "partial 18S ribosomal RNA". It matches the Rfam family "Eukaryotic small subunit ribosomal RNA", at positions 1470 to 1796 of the family's 1831-position model. The record is from RNAcentral.